UUGACGCAGGGCACGUAACCUUCAUACCUGUUUUCAUCUUCAGACCAAUUCCUUUUGAAGGCACGAAAUGUUCUUUUUUUCAGUUUACCAAAACCUCAACAUCCGCCACAAUGAUCAAAACUAUCUUCAGACCAAUUCCUUUUGAAGGCACGAAAUGUUCUUUUUUUCAGUUUACCAAAACCUCAACAUCCGCCACAAUGAUCAAAACUUGGACACCAGGUUCUGUUUUAAGACCAUUCUUCUUAUCACAUUCGAUUUUGUUGAACUUUUAAAUUCUUUGUAACGUGACUGGGUUAUUUUUUGUUGUUUGGUAGGGGCCUUGGGUACAAGUCUUAUCAUCAUCCUUCAACCUGCGAGUUCUUAUCGUCUCCAGUUUUUUCGGCACCAAGUGAUUUUGAAGUGGAACAGAAA
Molecule: long non-coding RNA, 411 nt
Filed under: Lathyrus oleraceus (garden pea)
Lineage: Eukaryota; Viridiplantae; Streptophyta; Magnoliopsida; Fabales; Fabaceae
Description: Pisum sativum (pea) long non-coding RNA (PSAT_LNC034643)
Source: RNAcentral